This 497-nucleotide ribosomal RNA is filed under the name uncultured bacterium. RNAcentral describes it as "partial 16S ribosomal RNA". It matches the Rfam family "Bacterial small subunit ribosomal RNA", at positions 28 to 507 of the family's 1533-position model. The record is from RNAcentral.
GAUGAACGCUGGCGGCGUGCCUAAUACAUGCAAGUCGAGCGAACAGACGAGCCCCUUGCCCCCCCGACGCUACCCCCCGCCCGGCGAGUAACACGCGGCUCCCCCCCCUAUCAGACUGGCAUAACCCCGCGACACCCGAGCUAACACCGGCCCAUCCCUCGCACCGCCCGGUCCACUCGUCAACGACGCUUCCGCUCCCACUUCUAGCUGGAUCCGCGCCGCAUUAGCUAGUUGGUAAGGUCACGGCUUACCAAGGCAACGCUGCGUAGCCGACCUGAGAGGGUGUUCGGCCACACUGGAACUGAGACACGGUCCAGACUCCUACGGGAGGCAGCAGUAGGGAAUCUUCCGCAAUGGGCGAAAGCCUGACGGAGCAACGCCGCGUGAGUGAUGAAGGUCUUCGGAUCGUAAAACUCUGUUAUUAGGGAAGAACAAAUGUGUAAGUAACUAUGCACGUCUUGACGGUACCUAAUCAGAAAGCCACGGCUAACUACGUG